CCCUUAGAUGUCCGGGGCCGCACGCGCGCUACACUGAAGGAAUCAGCGUGGCUUUCUCCCUGGCCCGAAAGGGUUGGGAAACCCGUUGAAUCUCCUUCGUGAUAGGGAUUGGGGCUUGAAAUUGUUCCCCAUGAACGAGGAAUUCCCAGUAAGCGCGAGUCAUAAGCUCGCGUUGAUUACGUCCCUGCCCUUUGUACACACCGCCCGUCGCUACUACCGAUUGAACGGUUUAGUGAGGGCCUCGGAUUGGUCUCGGCCCGCUCUUUACCGGGCGGCGCCGUUGGUCGAGAAGACGCUCGAACUUGAUCGUUUAGAGGGAGUAAAAGUCGUAACA
RNAcentral lists this ribosomal RNA (334 nucleotides) under uncultured eukaryote. Its description in RNAcentral is "partial 18S ribosomal RNA". It matches the Rfam family "Eukaryotic small subunit ribosomal RNA", at positions 1470 to 1796 of the family's 1831-position model. The record is from RNAcentral.